Molecule: transfer-messenger RNA, 311 nt
Filed under: Eubacteriales bacterium
Lineage: Bacteria; Bacillati; Bacillota; Clostridia; Eubacteriales
Rfam family: transfer-messenger RNA
About the family: Bacterial tmRNA, also known as 10Sa RNA or SsrA, is named for its dual tRNA and mRNA-like properties.
Source: RNAcentral
GGGGCUGUAAAGGGUUCGACAGGGGUAUGAAAGCUAUGAAUUCGCUAGAGUGAUGACUUAAUCAUCAAACCUAAAAAUAAACGCAAACAGACAGAUGUCAGCAGUAGCCUAAGCGCUACGCCAAAACACUUUGAGAUACCGCUGGUAGAAGUUGAGGCUCAAAAACAAGCGGAAUUAUCGGUUCUCUGUAUACAGUAAGCGAGGAACAGAGUGGUGGAUUAGAAAAGAAAUCAGUGCUAUACCCAAACAGCGUAAAGAUUCAUAGCAAGUAAUACUUUUGGACAGGGGUUCGAUUCCCCUCAGCUCCAUCA